CCUACGGGGUGCAGCAGUGAGGAAUAUUGGUCAAUGGGCGGAAGCCUGAACCAGCCAAGUCGCGUGAGGGAUUAAGGCCCUGCGGGUCGUAAACCUCUUUUGCCGGGGAGCAGAGGUCCGGACGUGUCCGGGCCGGGAGAGUACCCGGAGAAAAAGCAUCGGCUAACUCCGUGCCAGCAGCCGCGGUAAUACGGAGGAUGCGAGCGUUAUCCGGAUUUAUUGGGUUAACAGGGUGCGUAGGCGGGCAUUUAAGCCGGCGGUCAAAUGUCGGGGCUCAACCCCGGCCUGCCGUCGGAACUGGGUGCCUUGAGUGGGCGAGAAGUAUGCGGAAUGCGUGGUGUAGCGGUGAAAUGCAGAGAUAUCACGCAGAACCCCGAUUGCGAAGGCAGCAUACCGGCGCCCUACUGACGCUGAGGCACGAAAGUGCGGGUAUCGAACAGGAUUAGAUACCCGAGUAGUC
Molecule: ribosomal RNA, 460 nt
Filed under: uncultured bacterium
Lineage: Bacteria
Description: partial 16S ribosomal RNA
Rfam family: Bacterial small subunit ribosomal RNA
Source: RNAcentral